AUAGUGCCAACACAAAACCGAAGGGUAGUGAGUGCACAUGGGUGGAUACACAAAAACUAGAGGAGCUGAAAUGUUGAGUGCUGGAGGCAACCUAGCGGCGGACGGGUGAGUAACGCGUGAGCAAUCUGCCUCAUACAGGGGGAUAACAGGUGGAAACACUUGCUAAUACCGCAUAAGACCACAGCGCUGCAUGGCGCAGGGGUCAAAGGAGUAAGAUCCGGUAUGAGAUGAGCUCGCGUCCCAUUAGCUAGUUGGCGGGGUAACGGCCCACCAAGGCGACGAUGGGUAGCCGACCUGAGAGGGUGAUCGGCCACACUGGGACUGAGACACGGCCCAGACUCCUACGGGAGGCAGCAGUGGGGAAUAUUGCGCAAUGGGGGGGAACCCUGACGCAGCAACGCCGCGUGAGUGAAGAAGGUCUUCGGAUCGUAAAACUCUGUCAUAGGGGAAGAAGGAGAUGACGGUACCCUAUGAGGAAGCCCCGGCUAACUACGUG
Molecule: ribosomal RNA, 496 nt
Filed under: uncultured bacterium
Lineage: Bacteria
Description: bacterial SSU rRNA
Rfam family: Bacterial small subunit ribosomal RNA (bases 73-496)
Source: RNAcentral